UACACACGCGCAAUCGACGGGCGCGGGACGAAACGUGAACGCUCGGUUGUCUGCAUCUCGCAUCAUAAAUCUUUUCCUACUGGGCAAAUUCUGACAGCUUGUAAGACAAUGGACAGGCAGAACCACGACAAAGCCAAAGUAAUGUGGACGCCUGAUCGGAAGAAGCAGACAAACAUGGAUGCAUUUCGAGAAGACGUGAAUCGAAAUUACAAGUUGAACCUGGAGACUUAUGAUGAAUUGUGGAGGUGGUCAACUGAGAAUUAUGCCGAUUUCUGGGAAGCUUGUUGGAAAUUCGUUGACAUCAUCCAUUCAAAAAGUUAUGAUAAGGUGGUGGAUAAAGACAAGAUCAUUUUGGACAUCCCAGAGUGGUUUGCCGGGAGCAGGCUCAACUUUGCCGAGAAUCUGCUUCGCCACACGGACGACAGAGUGGCCCUCUACGAAGCAGCGGAAGGUAAAGACAGUGUUGAACGCAUCACCUACAAUCAACUCAAGGACCGAGUGGCUGUCUUGGCCUCAGCCAUGCAGAACAUGGGAAUCAAGGCAGGCGACAGAGUGGUUGGUUACAUUCCUAAUUGUGCCCUCGCCAUAGAAGCGAUGCUAGCUGCGGCCAGCAUCGGCGCUGUCUGGAGCUCGACAUCACCAGACUUUGGCGUCAUGGGCGUCCUGGACCGCUUCAAGCAGAUCCAGCCCAAGCUCAUCUUCUCGGUGGAGGCGGUUAUCUACAAUGGCAGGACGCACCCCCACGACAAGAAACUCCAGCAGGUGGUCAUGGGACUGCCGGAGCUGGAGAAGGUGGUGGUCAUUCCCUACGUGAAGCAAGAGUCCGAAAUCGACAUCUCCAACAUUCCAAACAGCAUAUUCCUCUCAGAGUUCCUGGCAUCAGGCCAAUCAGCUGAUGGCAUCACACCCCCUCUGGAAUUCGAACAGCUGCCCUUCAAUCACCCCCUGUACAUCAUGUAUUCAUCCGGAACGACUGGUGCGCCAAAGUGUAUGGUCCACUCUGCUGGGGGAACACUCAUACAGCAUCUAAAAGAGCACAUUCUCCAUGGCAACAUGACAAGAAAGGACAACAUCAUUUACUACACCACUACAGGUUGGAUGAUGUGGAAUUGGUUAGUGUCUGCCCUGGCCGUGGGUAGCGGAGUGGUGCUGUACGACGGCUCACCUCUGGUGCCGUCUGCCAAUGUGCUCUGGGAUCUGGUCGACCAGUUGGAAAUCAGCAUUCUCGGGACUGGUGCCAAGUGGCUGUCGGUGUUGAAUGAGAAGGAUGUCCACCCAGCCAGUACACACAGGCUGACCUCCCUCCACACCAUCCUUUCCACUGGCUCGCCACUGACUCCAAGCUUGUAUGACUACGUCUACUCCAAGAUCAAGGGGGACGUCUUGCUGGGAUCAAUCACAGGUGGCACCGACAUUGUCUCCUGCUUUGCCGGUCAGAACCCCACCCUGCCAGUGUACAGAGGGGAGCUGCAGAGCCGCAACCUGGGCAUGGCCAUUGAGUGCUGGAAUGACAAAGGCAAAGCAGUUUACAACGAAAGUGGGGAGCUGGUCUGUCUCCAACCGUUUCCCUGCAUGCCAACGCACUUCUGGAAUGACCAAGAUGGGGUCAAGUACAAGAAGGCGUACUUCUGUAAAUACCCAGGUGUGUGGGCACACGGUGAUUUCUGCUUGAUCAAUCAGGAGACAGGCGGCAUCGUAAUGCAAGGGAGAAGCGAUGGGACCUUGAAUCCAAAUGGAGUCAGGUUUGGAAGUGCAGACAUCUACAAACUGGUGGAGGACUUCAAGGAGAUCCAGGACAGCCUGUGCGUCCCCCAGCGCAGCACCAACAACGAGGAGCGCGUGGUCCUGUUUCUCAAAAUGGCAGACGGGCGCGACUUCAGCCCGGAGCUGGUUCAGCGGGUCAAGGUGGCCAUCAGGUCGGGCUUGUCAGCCAGGCACAUCCCAGAAGUCAUUCUCGAGACCAAGGACAUUCCAUACACCAUCAACGGUAAGAAGGUUGAGGUGGCUGUGAGGAGGAUUAUCUCCGGAGAGAACGUCCAGCAACGCGGAGCUCUCGCUAAUCCCAACUCCUUGGACCUCUACUCCAACAUCCCACAGUUACAAGGUUACUGAAAUGGCACUGUGUGUGAUUUACUAAUGACCAGUGUCGUGGUCAGGUCUGUCACAAGUCCAUUCACAAGCCCAUUUGCAGGUAGCAGGUUUGAGGAAUGACACGAGAAUGCUGUUGUCACAGUUCAGUCGGAUAAAUUCUCUUGAUUUGAGGCUGACUGAUUUGUGAUUGAAGAUCAGGGACAUUUGAGGACUUGCGACAGACUUGACCACUGCACUGUGAAAGGCAGAGACAGAAGAGGAGAGCAAAGGGACAAAAAUGUGUUGCUCUCAGUUGGAGAAACCAACUGUGUGUCAGUCUACAAUUCAGGUCGUUGUUGUGGUCAAAGUUACAAAAUAAUUUCAUAUCUGCAGAAUACAGGUGAUUCACAAUGCAGCGUGCCACCAAGAGGUUGCCAUGGAGAGGCCAUUUUUGCUGUGCAUUGUUUGGAAACAGUGAACAAAGUUCUUCAGAUGUUCCCAAUGUUUGUUUUUCUGGGUUGAGGAUUCAUACAUGUUUGAGUAUUGGUAUUUAUUAAUCAAGAUGGUGGUUUCCGUGAGGCAAGGAAUGCCCUGAUUAAGCAAAAAUUUCCUCAUGUUCUCUACUGACAUUCACUCAAUGCAAAUCACAGCAAGCCAGCAGUGUUUUAUGUUGACCAUAAACUUGAAAAAUGGCCUCUCCAUGGCAACCUCUUGGUGGGCUGCUGUAUUUGGAAUAAUCCAUAUAAAGCAUUGCAUGAUGUCCACUGGCAUAAAGAGUGCUGUUAUGUAAUCUAGAAGAUGUACUAGUUCCCAGGAGCAUUGCUAAUGGGAAUAUGUAGGUGUGUGACACUCCUUACUCAUUUUGUUUUCUCCUCAAAUUGUCUUAGUUCUCAUUUCCUUACACUGUCAGGUUCCUUGUGCCAGCACUGCAAAAAAACACAGUGUUGAAUUAACACUGUCUCUUGUGUAGCACUUAGAAAAAGGGCAUACGUUUGCACCUGUCAUUUUGAGCUUAGAUCAAACAAACGGUGGAAAGGUUUCUUCCAUACUUCCAAGAGACGCAGAAAUGUCAUUGUCCUAUAUAUUUCUUUUGAAGGGCACAAUCCGGAAACAAGUUGUCCAUGCUCAAAUAAGUUCACUCUCAAAGCUUUAUCAUAUGGUUUUAUUGUCUGCCUGGUUGUGGAUAUCAUGGUAUCAGAAAGCUGAUUGAAGUGAGCUUUUUAAUCAGAUUUUCUUUACUUGUAUUUUCAAUUGAAAUAAUGAAAUUGGCGUUGUUGGGGAGAUUUUUAACUAAUGAACAGCGCUGCUGGUAGUAUGCAUUGGAUAAAUAUUGUUAAUAGAUAUUUCACCAACUGUGAAGACAAACUAAACUAAUUUUGCCUAGAAAUUCCAAAAAGUCAAUUUAGUACCUCUAUUUUUGGUUGAUAUAUACUGCAACACUUUGGCCAUAUUUUUUGGCUGCUUCAUUAUGGAGUUGACCUCAGGAAGUGGACUGUAUUUAAUAGUUUUCAAAAUGUUUCCUUGUUCUAUGUUGCUUGGCUGCUCAUGAGCCUUGAUAUGAGGUUAUGAGGGAUCUCGCUCUCUCAAGGAGUUCCAAGUCGUGGGAUCCCCAACCAGAUCAAAGGCGCAGCAUGAGCCACCAAGCC
This 3716-nucleotide unclassified non-coding RNA is filed under the name Acanthaster planci (crown-of-thorns starfish). Its description in RNAcentral is "acetoacetyl-CoA synthetase-like, transcript variant X1". The record is from RNAcentral. Lineage: Eukaryota; Metazoa; Echinodermata; Asteroidea; Valvatida; Acanthasteridae.